UCUCUCCUCAAGCGUCAGGGAGAAAUGGAGAACGGGACGGUCUGGUCCAACUCCUCCGAGUCCUCCGACGACUCCUCCAGUCCAGCGCUGGCUCACCAGAGGCUGACGGCCUCCAACAUGCUGCAGACCACCCUCACCAGUCAGCUGUCGUCCACUCCACACAAGUCCAGCGCGUCCACGCCGUCGCUCUCGUCCAACCAAGAAGAAGAGGAGACAGAGUCCGGGGAGGUUUUCUCUCAGACAGAGUCGGUGCCUAAUGGCCAUCUGCAGACUUCCUGCUCUCGUAGCCCGGACUUUACAGUGACUGACAGGGCAUGUGUCCAAUCAGCUGACCUCUGUGAAACCUCCGCAGACCUGAGCUGCUCGUGCCCGGAUGUCUCGUCCGUACCCGCCGCGUUAGCGAGAGAGAUGUUUGAAAGCUGCACGCCACAGGUCUCAGCAGAGGUGAAGGCUGAUUCACCUGAGGAGUCGGUGCAGGAUAAAAGAGACAAAGCAGAGAUGGAGCACAGCACCGAAGAAGCAACGUCAGAGGAUGCCAAGUCUGUCCAGGAGCCAAAACAGCCCGAGGAAUCUCCAGCGGCUUCUUUUCCCACGUCUGCUAGUUUCACCCAAGAAGUCGAGACGGCGCUCGAAAGUUUCGACUUUCUCAACUGUUCUGACCUUGAUGAAGAGGAGGAAGACGAGGAACAGAAGGAAGACAAAGGAGAGAAAGAAGAGGAGAGCGAGCCAAACGAAGAGGACAAAGACGAAACAGAGGAAGAGAACAGGGAGGAGAUCUGUCACUCUGGAGGAAGUGAUGAUGAGCAGAUGGACGGUCUUGAGAUUCUUAUGGAAGCCCCAGAAGGAUUUAGGAACUCAGAUGAAGAUCGUUUCUCUGAAUCCCAGGAGUCAAUUACAGAGGAUGUGCUGGAUUUGGGACAGGUGGAAAUGCCAGAGGACACGGAGGAGCCUGGGGAGGAAAACAGAGACGAGCCACAAGAAGACGCAUCCCCCUGA
This 996-nucleotide long non-coding RNA is filed under the name Betta splendens (Siamese fighting fish). RNAcentral describes it as "lncRNA (ENSBSLG00000006010.1)". Lineage: Eukaryota; Metazoa; Chordata; Actinopteri; Anabantiformes; Osphronemidae. The record is from RNAcentral.